This 103-nucleotide ribosomal RNA is filed under the name Vibrio parahaemolyticus. RNAcentral describes it as "partial 16S ribosomal RNA". Lineage: Bacteria; Pseudomonadati; Pseudomonadota; Gammaproteobacteria; Vibrionales; Vibrionaceae. The record is from RNAcentral.
UUAAAUUGAAGAGUUUGAUCAUGGCUCAGAUUGAACGCUGGCGGCAGGCCUAACACAUGCAAGUCGAGCGGAAACGAGUUAUCAGAACCUUCGGGGAACGAUA